CUUCAAAGGGUCAGGGUUUCCUAUACAGAGUCCAUUGUCAGAAUGGGGAAAUUAGCCUACGGCUGUUCAGGUGUUUCGCCAGUAGGAGGCAAUAACAUAUAGAUUCAGAU
Molecule: long non-coding RNA, 110 nt
Organism: Myotis davidii
Lineage: Eukaryota; Metazoa; Chordata; Mammalia; Chiroptera; Vespertilionidae
Exons: 3
Source: RefSeq, a predicted model, not a curated record